CAGCCGCCACGGUAAUACGAAGGGUGCAAGCGUUAAUCGGAAUUACUGGGCGUAAAGCGUGCGUAGGCGGUUUGUUAAGUCUGCUGUGAAAUCCCCGGGCUCAACCUGGGAAUGGCAGUGGAUACUGGCAAGCUAGAGUGUGUCAGAGGAUGGUGGAAUUCCCGGUGUAGCGGUGAAAUGCGUAGGGAUCGGGAGGAACAUCAGUGGCGAAGGCGGCCAUCUGGGACAACACUGACGCUGAGGCACGAAAGCGUGGGUAGCAAACAGGCUUAGAUACCCGAGUAGUCCCUGUCUCUUAUAC
This 301-nucleotide ribosomal RNA is filed under the name uncultured bacterium. Its description in RNAcentral is "partial 16S ribosomal RNA". It matches the Rfam family "Bacterial small subunit ribosomal RNA", at positions 509 to 807 of the family's 1533-position model. The record is from RNAcentral.